ACUUAUAAAUAAGCAAUUUUAAGUCCUUUCGUACAAUAAAAUUAUAAUAGGAAGAUAGAAUCCGACCUGACUUACGUCGGUCUAAACUCAAAUCAUGUAAGCUUUUAAUAGUCGAGCAGACUAACUAAUUAAAUUUCUACUUUCAAUAGUUAACUUAAUUCAACAUCGAGGUCAUAAUCUCCCCCACAAAUAAGAUCUCUGUGGGGGAAUUAUGCUGUUAUCCCUUAGGUAACUUUUUCUACAUAUCCAUUCUAAGGGAUCAUUAAUUUAAUUAAUGAUUUUUUUAUUAUCUAUAGAUAAAAAUUAUUAGAUCCGUCCCAGAUAAAUUUAUACUCAUCUUCUCAAGAAAAAUAUAAAUAAAGAUCUAAAGGGUCUUCUCGUCCCUCCUAAUCAAGUGGGAUUUUUCACCAACUUAUUAAUUUAUUAAACUAUAAAAAAGACAGUUUUAAUUCCGUCUAACCUUUCAUUCCAGUUUUCAAUUAAAAAACUAAUUAUUAUGCUACCUUAGUACAGUCAAGUUACUGCAGCAAUUAACUUACGCAUUGAGCAGGUCGGACCUUAAAUAAUUAAUUAAGGACAUGUUUUUAUUAAACAGGCGAAUUAAUUCUUUGCCGAGUUCCUAAAUUAUAUUUAUCAUUAAUACUAAUUGAAAGAUUAUUUUAAAUUAAAUAUUAUUAUAAAAAUUAGUUAAACGUAUAAAAAAUUCAACUCUGAAUAAAAUGAACUUACUUAAAUUUAUAAAAUUUUAAUUUAUGAAUUUUUAAUCUUUAGAGCUUAUCCCCUAAAGAUUAAAAUUUUCCUUAGAGAUUAGAAAAUAUUCAUUUAAAAUGAUAAUUUAACAACCAGAUAUAAUGAAAACCGAAUUACUUUUAACAACUUUUAAUAAUUAUUACUUAAUAUUUAAAUAUUAAAAUAAAAUAAAAAAAGAUCUUUUCCAUUCGGGAAUAAAGAUAAAUAAAUAUUUCCUAACACCCUGAUACAAAAGGUACAAUUCUAAUAUUUACUAUUCUUUUAUUAAUAUUGUUCAUUUCAGGUCUUUAUUAUGAUAUAUUUUAUACAAAUAAUUCUUGAAAAUAUGAUUUUAAUUAAAAAACUUAUAAACUUUUAAUAAAAUACUAGUA
RNAcentral lists this ribosomal RNA (1121 nucleotides) under Anatoecus dentatus. Its description in RNAcentral is "16S ribosomal RNA". Lineage: Eukaryota; Metazoa; Arthropoda; Insecta; Psocodea; Philopteridae. The record is from RNAcentral.